Molecule: ribosomal RNA, 465 nt
Filed under: uncultured bacterium
Lineage: Bacteria
Description: bacterial SSU rRNA
Rfam family: Bacterial small subunit ribosomal RNA
Source: RNAcentral
GACGAACGCUGGCGGCGUGCUUAACACAUGCAAGUCGAGCGAGUUGAUCCCUUCGGGGUGAAGCUAGCGGCGGACGGGUGAGUAACACGUGGGCAACCUGCCUCAUAGAGGGGAAUAGCCUCCCGAAAGGGAGAUUAAUACCGCAUAAGAUUGUAGUUCCGCAUGGAAUAGCAAUUAAAGGAGCAAUCCGCUAUGAGAUGGGCCCGCGGCGCAUUAGAUAGUUGGUGGGGUAACGGCUCACCAAGUCGACGAUCAGUAGCCGAACUGAGAGGUUGAUCGGCCGCAUUGGGACUGAGACACGGCCCAGACUCCUACGGGAGGCAGCAGUGGGGAAUAUUGCGCAAUGGGGGAAACCCUGACGCAGCAACGCCGCGUGCAGGAAGAAGGUCUUCGGAUUGUAAACUGUUGUCGCAAGGGAAGAAGACAGUGACGGUACCUUGUGAGAAAGUCACGGCUAACUACGUG